AGAGUUUGAUCCUGGCUCAGAUUGAACGCUGGCGGCAUGCUUUACACAUGCAAGUCGAACGGCAGCACAGGGAGCUUGCUCCCGGGUGGCGAGUGGCGCACGGGUGAGUAAUACAUCGGAACGUGUCCUGUUGUGGGGGAUAACUGCUCGAAAGGGUGGCUAAUACCGCAUGAGACCUGAGGGUGAAAGCGGGGGAUCGCAAGACCUCGCGCAAUUGGAGCGGCCGAUGCCCGAUUAGCUAGUUGGUGAGGUAAAGGCUCACCAAGGCGACGAUCAGUAGCUGGUCUGAGAGGACGACCAGCCACACUGGGACUGAGACACGGCCCAGACUCCUACGGGAGGGCAGCA
This 348-nucleotide ribosomal RNA is filed under the name uncultured bacterium. RNAcentral describes it as "bacterial SSU rRNA". It matches the Rfam family "Bacterial small subunit ribosomal RNA", at positions 8 to 353 of the family's 1533-position model. The record is from RNAcentral.